GAGUUAGUGUCUAUCAGGCAGUUAACUUGUACAAAGGACGGAGGAAGAUUAAAUCCAAGGGAGAGGCCGGCACAAAUUUAAAAGUACACCAGUUGGUUCUUUAUUGCUGCUGUGGAGUAUUGGCUGGUGUAGUUGGUGGGUUGCUUGGUCUUGGUGGAGGAUUCAUUUUGGGGCCACUUUUUCUGGAAUUGGGAGUCCCUGCACAGGUAAAUUUCAUGCUUGAGGGUUUUAUUCUUUCAUGACCAUUAAUUUGGUGUUAGAUGGUCAACUUUUAUGGAUCGACCUUAUGACAGUCAUUUUGGAUCAAAAGAAACAGAUUGUCUUUAUUUAAAAGAAAGAGAGCUCAUGUCAAUGUUGAAAUUGUUAUGUU
Molecule: long non-coding RNA, 370 nt
Filed under: Jatropha curcas
Lineage: Eukaryota; Viridiplantae; Streptophyta; Magnoliopsida; Malpighiales; Euphorbiaceae
Description: long non-coding RNA (JCUR_LNC003570)
Source: RNAcentral